This 440-nucleotide ribosomal RNA is filed under the name uncultured bacterium. RNAcentral's name for it is "SSU rRNA". It matches the Rfam family "Bacterial small subunit ribosomal RNA", at positions 26 to 517 of the family's 1533-position model. The record is from RNAcentral.
AGAGCGAACGCUGGCGGCAGGCCUAACACAUGCAAGUCGAGCGCCCCGCAAGGGGAGCGGCAGACGGGAGAGUAACACGUGGGAACGUACCCUUCAGUUCGGAACAACCCAGGGAAACUUGGGCUAAUACCGAAUACGUCCGUAAGGAGAAAGAUUUAUCGCUGAAGGAUCGGCCCGCGUCUGAUUAGCUAGUUGGUGAGGUAACGGCUCACCAAGGCUACGAUCAGUAGCUGGUCUGAGAGGAUGAUCAGCCUCACUGGGACUGAGACACGGCCCAGACUCCUACGGGAGGCAGCAGUGGGGAAUAUUGGACAAUGGCGCAAGCCUGAUCCAGCCAUGCCGCGUGGAUGAUGAAGGCCUUAGGGUUGUAAAGCUCUUUUGUGCGGGAAGAUAAUGACGGUACGCAAGAAUAAGCCCGGCUAACUUCGUGCCAGCAGCCG